ACUAAAUUAAAAUGGCGGACGCAUCAAGAGUGAAGAGUGGAGCUUUAUAAAACCAUUCAACAAUUGUCUUUUAAAAAACAACCAAAUAAAUAUUUUGAAAAACAACUACUGGAAGAUAUCUCCUGAUUCAGAUUUAUGAGCAAGACAAUCGUGCUUCAAUGGUCAAAGUAGCUCUUCUGAGUGUGUUUCAUCAGCGACAUCAACGCCAUGUGGGUCAACAUCACUGAAUGAAACUGCUUCAAUACGAAAGCUUACAAGUGAAGAUAUAGAUAGAAGAGAGGAUUUUGAUGGCGAGUAUGGUUAUCGAAUGAUUGAACUUUCAAACCUAGCAAGUGCAUUUCAGUCCUUGCAUAAUUGGGAAUUAGGUGGAAAGUUGAAAGUUACCAAUGAUGAGUCUCGUAGAUAUGGAAAUAGCAAAGUCAUUGUUGAGUCAGAUGUUGCAGAGAUUGCUGUGAGUUAUGAUGGCACAUGGGCUAAGCAAGGGUUCACUGCAAACUUUGGAAUUGAUUUUGUUAUUUCUGUUGACACUGGUGAGGUUCUUGACUAUGGUUUUGGAUCCAAAUUAUCGAAGUUUGACAUGGGUCCCAUUUUUAUUAAAAUCGGUCAAGUAUUCGCACAGGAAUCGCAAAUUAAAAUCAGCAAACCACUUUGAAUUAUCACCGGAGUUUAUCGGCAUUAUCAUACCAUGUGAUCUUCUACGAUUGUCAGCAAGAUUGAAGAUUGUUCGAAGAAGAAGGAGUUCGCCGUUGACUAAAACGUUUAUCUGAACAGCCAGUUGUCAAAAGAUGAAGUAGAAAUAUUUUCUUAAAGCUGUGACAGUUUAAUAUCAGUUCAACUGAUUCAGUUGGGGAACUUGUGGAGGUGAAUUUCAAAAUAGCGAUGCCACAGAGAUGAUGCCAUGUGGACCUUGUGGCUUUCACCUUUGUGGGCAAGCUGGUCGUGCUGUGUGUUCAAACAUGAAGAUGAAGCCGAUUUCGAGGGAAUCUUUCAACGUGCUAGCCAGUAAAGAUUUGUGUUGGAUAUGUUCCUGUUUCUUCAGAAGCCAAGGCUUCCUAGUGGCCACGUUGCAUUUUGAGGUAUAUACUUUGAUGAUUGGAAUUUACCCUCUUCGAUAGCCAAGGUGAGAAAGAUCAUUGUUAAGUUUUAUCUGACUCCAGGAUGUAUUUGAUAUGUUAUGCUGAUAUAGACAGAGCCACAGCAUCGGCAUUGCAAAUCCUACUAUCACAUUUGUUAGGAGAUGCUGGCAGUCCUAAUAUUGUGGGUUUGGCAUUUCUUUCUUCAUCAUUCAUGGUAACCGACUGAAUACAAAUUUAAACAAUUCAAACAAACUGCAUUGCUGACUUUUUUGUCCCUGGAAGAAGAACACAAAUGUUGGCUUUGUUUUCUUUUGAAAUCCCUGUUGGCAGUGGUCUCUCAAGAUGUUGUUGGUUCAAAAGUAUCUUCUGCAUUUAGUGGUGACAAUUAUUUUAUAAUAGAGAAAACACAGGGGGCAAAUUGAAAAGACUCAGGGUGAUAUCGUUGCAGACAAGGAUGUUAUCAUUCGUCGUUCAUGGUUGAAUGAUGUGAAACAUAUGUUAUGCUGAUACAGACAGAGCCACAGCAUGGGCUUGCAAAUCUUGCUAUCAUAUUUGUUAGGAGAUGCUGGCAGCCUUAUAUUGUGGGUUUGGUAUGUAAUAUAUAAUUUGUUGUGCCUAAUAAAGCUAU
Molecule: long non-coding RNA, 1704 nt
Filed under: Dendronephthya gigantea
Lineage: Eukaryota; Metazoa; Cnidaria; Anthozoa; Malacalcyonacea; Nephtheidae
Description: uncharacterized LOC114541925, transcript variant X4
Source: RNAcentral